This is a non-coding RNA of Triticum urartu, 1274 nucleotides long. The record is from RefSeq and is a predicted model, not a curated record. Lineage: Eukaryota; Viridiplantae; Streptophyta; Magnoliopsida; Poales; Poaceae.
UGGUCCUAUCCUCCAGACCUCCACCACCGCCUGCCUCCUCCCUUUCCCAGCGUUUCCAUUCAGCCGCUCGCCGCUUCUCCGUCAAUGCGCUCCGCUUCACCAUUGCUGUACGCCGCCAGCGGGGAGACGUCCGUCCGCGGUCGUGUGGUGCUUUCCGGCCGGACAGACGCGGUCUCGGCGUCGUCCUCGUCCGUGGCGGAGAGGGAGAGGGGGCCCGUCGACGCCAUCUUUCUCGGCGCCGACUUCGCCCAAUCAGCCUCCUGCCUUGUCGUCUCGCUUGGCGAGCCAGCGGCGUGCGGUGUGGUUCAUGGCGUUGGUGGAGUCCAAGGCCGUGGCCUUACGUGCAUCGUGUUCGUUCGACCCAUGGAGGGUGUGUUGCGGUCCACCAUGAAGGGCGGCGGCGCGGGCGGCGAAGAAUCGAGAGCCCGAGCAGCGACGCCGACAAGCGCGCCAGUUCGUUGCUAAUCUCGGUCACCGGUGGUUUUGUUUUGUCUACGGCAUCGGGUUGCUUCCUGCUCCCUUCUUCUUCCAUCCUCUUUCUUCCUUUGCUUCGCUAAAUCCUUCUUUCGUCUUGCUCCUUAGAUUUCUGUCCUCGUCCUCUGCAGGUGUUGUGAUGUUUCUCGCUCUGGGUUGCCUUCAGCGUUGAGAUGCAAUUCACACACCACAUAAACCAUGUGUUGUGCUCUUUAUUGGUUCAUUGGUUGUGGUAGCUGCGGGGCUGGCGGCCGCAUUCGGGGUUGGAGAUGGCACGAGAUGCGGAGCUGCCUUGUGCCAUUCUUUCGCAAGACUAGAUACAAAUGGUUCAGCAAAGAGGGACUCAAGUUUGGAACCACCACACAGAUAAGGCCAUGGAACAAUAGUGUGUGGCUAUUCUGUGUAAUGUUUAUCUCAUCGGGGGAUAUGUCAGGGUGUAAGUGCAGACUCGUUAUCGAUGUUGAAUACUGGAGUAAGAAUGAUGAUCAAUAUAAUGUUGUAAUGAACCUGCAUGCUAUAGCAUUAUAUCAGGAUAUAUUGGUUAGGCACAUACUUUUUUGACAGUGGUUUAGAAAGGUGUGAUUUUCAAAUGUAGUUGCCUAUUAGUUUUUUUAGUUUUCUUAUGUUGAUUUCUCUUUUACUUAGUGUUUGCCGAGUAAGAGAAUUUUUUAACUUGAAUAUCAGAAUAUUUGUUUUUGAACGUUGGAAGAUCAGAACAUUACUGAUAGAAGAAUGAAUUAUAUCCUGAAAGUUGGUUACAUUACCACGAUGGUUGGAAUAUAAUUUAGACUUUGUUCCCA